AUGCACGCUGGCGGCGUGCCUAAUACCUGCAAGUCGCGCGAACAGACGAGGAGCUUGCUCCUCUGACGUUAGCGGCGGACGGGUGAGUAACACGUGGAUAACCUACCUAUAAGACUGGGAUAACUUCGGGAAACCGGAGCUAAUACCGGAUAAUAUAUUGAACCGCAUGGUUCAAUAGUGAAAGACGGUUUUGCUGUCACUUAUAGAUGGAUCCGCGCCGCAUUAGCUAGUUGGUAAGGUAACGGCUUACCAAGGCGACGAUGCGUAGCCGACCUGAGAGGGUGAUCGGCCACACUGGAACUGAGACACGGUCCAGACUCCUACGGGAGGCAGCAGUAGGGAAUCUUCCGCAAUGGGCGAAAGCCUGACGGAGCAACGCCGCGUGAGUGAUGAAGGUCUUCGGAUCGUAAAACUCUGUUAUUAGGGAAGAACAAAUGUGUAAGUAACUAUGCACGUCUUGACGGUACCUAAUCAGAAAGCCACGGCUAACUACGUG
This 496-nucleotide ribosomal RNA is filed under the name uncultured bacterium. Its description in RNAcentral is "partial 16S ribosomal RNA". It matches the Rfam family "Bacterial small subunit ribosomal RNA", at positions 29 to 507 of the family's 1533-position model. The record is from RNAcentral.